UGCUAGCAGSCMCGSUAAUUYMAGCUCCAAUAGCGUAUAUUAAAGUUGUUGCAGUUAAAAAGCUCGUAGUUGAAUUUCGGGGUCAGUAGAUUGGUCGUGCCACGGGUAUGUACUGGUCUUACUGGCUCCUCCUUCCUGAUGAACCGUAAUGCCAUUAAUUUGGUGUUGCGGGGAGACUGGACUGUUACUUUGAAAAAAUUAGAGUGUUUAAAGCAGGCUAACGCUUGAAUACAUUAGCGUGGAAUAAUGAAAUAGGACGUUCGAUCUUAUUUUGUUGGUUUCUAGGAUUGACGUAAUGAUUAAUAGGGAUAGUUGGGGGCAUUAGUACUCAAUUGUCAGGGGUGAAAUUCUUGGAUUUAUUGAAGACUAACUACUGCGAAAGCAUUUGCCAAGGAUGUUAUCAUUAAUCAAGAACGAAAGUUAGGGGAUCGAAGACGAUCAGAUACCGUCGUAGUCUUAACCAUAAACUAUGCCGACUAGGGAUCGGAUGAUGUUAAUUUWKUMMYGACUCAUUCGGCGCCUUCCGGGAAAACAA
Molecule: ribosomal RNA, 535 nt
Filed under: Rhizophagus sp. (in: glomeromycetes)
Lineage: Eukaryota; Fungi; Glomeromycota; Glomeromycetes; Glomerales; Glomeraceae
Description: SSU rRNA
Source: RNAcentral